Molecule: long non-coding RNA, 324 nt
Filed under: Nicotiana benthamiana
Lineage: Eukaryota; Viridiplantae; Streptophyta; Magnoliopsida; Solanales; Solanaceae
Description: long non-coding RNA (NBEN_LNC042121)
Source: RNAcentral
AUAAAGACGAAAAAGGGACAAAAUUGUAUUCUUAUGGUGGAGAUGAGGGUGACAGGACUAUUGAGAAAAAGAAUUUGGUGGUUUGCUUUUGUUGCUGCAUUUUGCUGCUUCUUUCAGUUAUGUCUGGGAUUGUUUUUGAGUCAACGGAACUAGUCGGAGCUCUGAAGAUUACAUGCAGUAGAGUUUUAUGGUGAAAGAUGGCAGGAUGGCUUACGGUGGUUUAGUUCGAACUUUAAUGGCUGAUUUUCCUUGACUCUACAGUGGUUUCAUGGUGGGCUUAGUUUAGUUAACUGCUAUGAGGUUUUUGAUUUUUUUAAGAAAAUA